CGUUGAAACUGCCGGGCUCGAGUGGGCGAGAAGUAUGCGGAAUGCGUGGUGUAGCGGUGAAAUGCAUAGAUAUCACGCAGAACCCCGAUUGCGAAGGCAGCAUACCGGCGCCCUACUGACGCUGAGGCACGAAAGUGCGGGGAUCAAACAGGAUUAGAUACCCUGGUAGUCCGCACAGUAAACGAUGAAUGCUAGCUGUCCGGGGGGAUUGACCCCUGGGUGGCACAGCGAAAGCGUUAAGCAUUCCACCUGGGGAGUACGCCGGCAACGGUGAAACUCAAAGGAAUUGACGGGGGCCCGCACAAGCGGAGGAACAUGUGGUUUAAUUCGAUGAUACGCGAGGAACCUUACCCGGGCUCAAACGCCGAAGGAACAUUCCCCGAAAGGGGAAUGGCCAGCAAUGGUCUUCGGCGAGGUGCUGCAUGGUUGUCGUCAGCUCGUGCCGUGAGGUGUCGGCUUAAGUGCCAUAACGAGCGCAACCCCCACCGACAGUUGCUAACUGGUCAAGCAGAGGACUCUGUCGGGACUGCCGGCGCAAGCUGCGAGGAAGGCGGGGAUGACGUCAAAUCAGCACGGCCCUUACGUCCGGGGCGACACACGUGUUACAAUGGCAGGUACAGCGGGAUGCCAUGGGGCGACCCAGAGCGGAACCCGAAAACCUGUCUCAGUUCGGAUUGGAGUCUGCAACCCGACUCCAUGAAGCUGGAUUCGCUAGUAAUCGCGCAUCAGCCACGGCGCGGUGAAUACGUUCCCGGGCCUUGUACACACCGCCCGUCAAGCCAUGGGAGCCGGGGGUGCCUGAAGGCCGUGACCGCGAGGAGCGGCCUAGGGUAAAACUGGUGACUGGGGCUAAGUCGUAACAAGGUAACCGUAA
This 874-nucleotide ribosomal RNA is filed under the name uncultured bacterium. RNAcentral's name for it is "bacterial SSU rRNA". It matches the Rfam family "Bacterial small subunit ribosomal RNA", at positions 625 to 1505 of the family's 1533-position model. The record is from RNAcentral.